AAUUAGGAAGAAAACCUAAGCCCCCUUCUUUCUCAUCUUUCCCCUCUCCCUUAAGCCUCAGCCGCCCGAGAGGCGUUUCCGGCAUUCAUAAAACCGGCGGCGAUCGCGGACCAGCGGACCUCUCGAAGGCGUCCAUUCACCGUCGAUCCUCGCCGUGUCUUCACCGAGCGGCGGUCCUCUCCGGUAGCCACCGAACAGACUGGCGGCGCCUGUCUCUCCACAUAUUUUUGCUCCGAAACACUUCAGUCUCUUGAUUCCACUUUUAUCAAUCUCGGAUUUCAGCACCUACUGGAUACUACCCAAUACGCAGUAAGUCGAUCCAUUUGCAUGUCGGAAACUCACUGGGUGUAGUUUCGUACUGAUAUCUUGGCAUUACUUUGAGUGAACGAUGAAGGCUCUUAUUGAGUAAUCGUUCAGAUUGUUUUUUUUUUUUUUUUUUUUGAUAAGUUUGAAACUUCAAGAAUUUAAUCUCAAGCUUUUAUGGUCCGAUGCAAUAAUUAUAGUUGGUGGUAAAUAGCCAACUCUCAGAAUUCCUUAGUGCUUAGUUAGAUAGUCGGAAGAAUGUUUGAUUUAGCCUUAAAUCUUAAGUUUAUAUUGCCAGUAUGGUUACUUUCGUAGAAAGUUUCCAGGUUGUUUCUCACUAAAAAGUGUGUAACUUCAAGUGGAUUCAGUCUGGAUUACUGCAAAUCCCUUUACCAACGAAGCAAUCCAACAAUGAAGCAACUAUGGAUGUUCUCUGUUCCUCGUAGGCUCUUAGUAAAUCGGAUUAUUUUUGCUCCGUCUGCUUUCUCUCUCAGGAACACGAAUUAUUGCUUUUUACCUCAUGGCCUCCAUACUCAAUCUCCCUCCUCCUCCUCGCCUCCGCCCUCAAUCUCUUCGUUUUCGUUGCUUACUAACCUUAUUGAGUUAUUUUCCAACAAGCCUUCUGACCAUGCGAUCUUGGAGAGAAGUAUUAUGCAAAAGAAGGUCUUGGAGGUGAGUCAUGAACUGAUUCAGAACGCAGAAAAUUCUGAUAAGAUAAUGAAAAUAUUGAAAGACAGUGAAGACUUGCUCCUAAGGAAACACGCCGACGGUUUGGCUUUUGUCGAGUUGCUGAAGCAGUUGGGUUCACAGCCUUACUUAGCAUUGGAGGUGCUUAAUUGGAGAAGAAGGCAAGGAGGUUCCUUUCCUUUAACUGCAGAGGAAUAUGCCAAGGGUAUUGCAGUUGCAGGUAGAUCUAAACAUAUUGACCUUGCAGUUGGGUUGUUCACUGAGGCUUCUAAUAAAAGGGUCAAGGCAACCUCUACUUAUAAUGCAUUGAUGGGUGUUUACAUGUAUAAUGGCUUGGCUGACAAGUGCAACUCAUUGUUUCGGGAUCUUAAGAGGGAUGCAGAUUGUGUUCCUAAUAUUGUAACAUAUAACAUUUUAUUAUCGCUAUUUGGUCGUUUGAUGUUAGUUGAUCACAUGGAGGCUACCAUGAGGGAAAUACAUGAUUUGAAUCUCUCACCUAACGUGAACACAUACAAUCAUCUAUUAGCUGGGUAUAUUACUGCAUGGAUGUGGAAUAGAAUGGAGCAAACCUUUAUGAAGAUGAAGUCGAGUUCAAUAAAGCCCAACACUGAGACUUUUUUGUUAAUGCUUCGUGGAUAUGCACAUUCUGACAACCUUGAAAAGAUGGAAGAGAUGUAUCACUUGUUAAAAGAUCAUGUCAAUGAAAAUAAAUUCCCUCUUAUUAGAAUUAUGAUAUAUGCAUAUUGUAGGAGUUCUAUAACAGAUAAAGUGCAUAAGAUUGACGCUUUGUUGAAGCUUAUUCCAGAAGAAGAAUAUAGAGCAUGGUUGAAUUGCAAAUUGAUAAGCAUCUACGCUCAAGCAGAUUGCUUAGAGAGAAUGGAACAUUCAAUAAAUGAAGCAUUUGAGCAUGGUACUUCAAUCUAUACGGCCCGUUUGAUGCGCUGCAUUAUUGCCAGCUAUUUUCGGUGUAAUGCAGUGGACAAGCUGAUAAACUUCGUUAGUCGUGCUGAAUCUGCAGGCUGGAGAAUCUGUCGGUCUUUAUAUCAUUGUAAAAUGGUUAUGUUUGCAUCACAAAAUCGUUUUGAAGAAAUGGAGUGUGUCCUUGAUGAAAUGAAAAAUAUCAACAUGGAUUGGACCAAAAAAACAUUUUAUAUUUUGUAUAAGGCCUACUCAACAAGUGGUUGCAGGUACAAGGCUAAUCAAGUGGUAGGUCGUAUGUGCAAGCUUGGGUAUGGGGUUCCCGUGGACUUGGAUUCAUCACCAUCUUGAUGUCCUCCUCCAUUUGAACGAUCGAAGGAAUGGAAAUUCCACAUUUGACUUAACCAAUUGAUCUUAUUGGUUUUUCUCAUGAAUAAGUGCAGAGCUGAGAUUUCUGAGAUAGUAGAAAUCGAGCAUUCAAAGCAAGCAGAAAUUUUAAAGAAUGUUUCAAGGAAAUUUAGUCAAUUGGACAAGAUCAAUGGAAGAAAUCAAGUGAAAGGGUGGAGAAAAUCAAGCUUAAGACCCGAGGGGCAGUGUCGUGAUGUUUCGCAAGCCAUACCACCUGUGAGUGUAGCAUUGAAAGCAUCUCAGCGUCACGCAUAUCAUGUAAGCCACAGAUGAAUUGCACGUGCACUUUUUCAGAGUGUUUCAUUCGAUGUUAUGGGCAGAGUCUCAAAUAACUUAUGAGUUUUUAUAAGGGGUAGUUGCAUAAAUGUCAAAAAAGCCUAAAAUGAUAGGCAUAUUUAGUACAUGGAAAAAAAUUGCAUAUAUAGCAAAAAAAAAAAAAAAAAAAGUAAAAGGCUAAAAUACCCAUGUCCAACUACCAUUUUGGGCGUUUUUUGUCGAAUUUCUUAAAUUAAAAAUUAUCAUUGAUGACGUCUAUCAUGGAUACAACUAUCAUCAGUAACAUCUAUCGGUGGUAACGUCUACCAUUGAUAAAUGCGAUAGUGAUAUACUAUCAUUGAUGACUUUCAAUUUGAUAAAUGAUUAUUUCUCACACUUUUUUA
This is an RNA transcript of Cucumis melo (muskmelon), 2975 nucleotides long. It is a transcript of the gene named pentatricopeptide repeat-containing protein At2g30780, with no coding region annotated. The record is from RefSeq and is a predicted model, not a curated record. NCBI's taxonomy places the organism in Eukaryota, Viridiplantae, Streptophyta, Magnoliopsida, Cucurbitales, Cucurbitaceae. The transcript has 3 exons.